GACGAACGCUGGCGGCGUGCUUAACACAUGCAAGUCGAACGGAAAGGCCCUGCUUUUGUGGGGUGCUCGAGUGGCGAACGGGUGAGUAACACGUGAGUAACCUGCCCUUGACUUUGGGAUAACUUCAGGAAACUGGGGCUAAUACCGGAUAGGAGCUCCUGCUGCAUGGUGGGGGUUGGAAAGUUUCGGCGGUUGGGGAUGGACUCGCGGUUUAUCAGCUUGUUGGUGGGGUAGUGGCUUACCAAGGCUUUGACGGGUAGCCGGCCGGAGAGGGUGACCGGCCACAUUGGGACUGAGAUACGGCCCGGACUCCUACGGGAGGCAGCAGGGGGGAAUAUGGCACAAUGGGCGGAGGCCUGAGGAAGCAACGCCGCGUGCGGGAUGACGGCCUUCGGGUUGUAAACCGCUUUCGCCUGUGACGAAGCGUGAGUGACGGUAAUGGGUAAAGAAGCACCGGCUAACUACGUG
This 468-nucleotide ribosomal RNA is filed under the name uncultured bacterium. RNAcentral describes it as "partial 16S ribosomal RNA". It matches the Rfam family "Bacterial small subunit ribosomal RNA", at positions 28 to 507 of the family's 1533-position model. The record is from RNAcentral.